Mytilus trossulus (common blue mussel) is the source of this 525-nucleotide long non-coding RNA. RefSeq lists it as uncharacterized. Lineage: Eukaryota; Metazoa; Mollusca; Bivalvia; Mytilida; Mytilidae. The transcript has 3 exons. The record is from RefSeq and is a predicted model, not a curated record.
CUGAGUCGUAAAUAUGUAUGUUGGAUGUCUGAAUGCAUCAUUCUUUUUUUAUUUGAUCGUCUUAUAAAAUAUUCUGGAACGUUAAGGUUACAUAGUUACCAAAGCAAGUAACCAGUAAAUACAAGUGUAAAAAUUGGGUUGUUUACUUCCGGUGAUGAUUAUUUUCUUAUAUGCAAUGAAAUGUAGUGUGAAAUUUUCACUGUAUCACUGGAAAGGAUUAAACUUUACACAUGCAAAGUAUUUCUUUGGUUGAAAUAAAGUGUUAACCAUGUUCUGAAGAGCAUUCUGUUGAAAAAUCUUAUAUGUGAAUUGGUCUGCAGAUGACACUUCAGCAUUAAAACAAAAGAUAUCAAGUUUUGAUGAAAAAGGAAGGAAGGAGGAAAAAUGGACCAAAACAGACCAAAACAGACCUUCAAAUGAACUCUAAAAGGUGCAAUAAAAUUGUUUAUCAUCUAAAAGUUGUCUUUUGUAUUCUAUUUAAUUGUUUGAAUGCAUAGAUCAUGAGUUUAUGAUCAGAUAGUAGUC